GGGUGAUCUCGGGGACGCCCCGAUCUUCCACCAGCCGGAUUGAGGCGGACGGCUGUGCAUAGAUGCUUCUAGCCCACCGACCUUGGGUGCCUGUGGGGGCUGAUACAUGCACGUACAAUAUGUGCAACUUUGAGUGCCCUGUAUGGGGACAAUUCUGCAGGACGGGUGCCGGCCGUGCGGUGGCUGAGUCGAAGGUGACCGGUGGGUAUUGAAAACGGUAAUUCACACGCCAAACGGAGCUCGGACUUCCCGGGAAAAGUGGGACUGAUCUGCACACCCACCACCAGGAGACGACAGAUUCGUCCUGACGGUGAUUCACAGAGUGGUCACUUCCGUGACACCUCUGUGCCCCUCUCCGUCUGUCCUGCUGACGAGGAUAGACAGACAGGUGCAUCGGAAGCUCUGGGAUUGCUGGAGAAUAUUCUAGUAGCGGGUGAGGUGCAGAGGGUGACUGUCACCUGCAGGGCAAGGUCCACAGGAAACCACGGGUGUCUCUGCUGAGGGCUGAAGGACCCAGUGACCCUCCCAACCAAAAGACCAUGGCCACCACCUAGUCCCCUGUGCAUCAAGUUUUAUCACGGGGGACUCACGCGACACCACGUUAACAGGGUACAUCAGGAACAAUCACACCGUGCAUUUUACUCUACUGCAGAAAUGGAUCCGGGGGAACUCACACACACACCCGGUAUCACGGAAUCCUGUUACCCAUGGGGUCAUACUCGCGGACUGUACCUAGAGCACGUCAUCAGCUGCAUUUCACUAUCAUCACUGAGAAGUGCACGAGGACAUUCCAGACCGUGGCAUUGCCUUGCGUGGGACUGAGGCCUACUCUGUCGCAUUGCACGAGCACGUCGCAUUUGCUGUGCAGUUUUACUAUGUCCCCGAGGACUAUGACCUGGGGUUCACAUGUCCUAGGUUAGUCUGUCACCCCACUAACCACCGUAGUAUUGAUCUCCCUGUAGGAGAGAACUGCAUGGCAUUCAUACAUAUCGUGUUGGCCUGUCACCCAUCGGUGACAAUGACACUCGGCCCAUUACCUGGAUUGCAUGCAGUGCAUUAGCAUAUGACCUGUCAUUCACAAUCCUGCUACUUUAUUUCCCUGUGGGAUUUACAGAUACAUCGUGCACGUUUUCACACCAAGGAUCCAUUGCACGGGGGCUGCACAGCUGCAUCUGGACCCGUGCGACAGCCGCCCACUCUGGCCCAGCCACAGGUGGCCGCGUGGGGGCGGGGCGGACAC
Long non-coding RNA from Marmota flaviventris (yellow-bellied marmot), 1240 nucleotides. RefSeq lists it as uncharacterized. Lineage: Eukaryota; Metazoa; Chordata; Mammalia; Rodentia; Sciuridae. The record is from RefSeq and is a predicted model, not a curated record.